UACGUAGGGGGCAAGCGUUAAUCGGAAUUACUGGGCGUAAAGCGUGCGCAGGCGGCUUUGCAAGACAGAUGUGAAAUCCCCGGGCUUAACCUGGGAACUGCAUUUGUGACUGCAUGGCUGGAGUGCGGCAGAGGGGGAUGGAAUUCCGCGUGUAGCAGUGAAAUGCGUAGAUAUGCGGAGGAACACCGAUGGCGAAGGCAAUCCCCUGGGCCUGCACUGACGCUCAGGCACGAAAGCGUGGGGAGCAAACAGG
RNAcentral lists this ribosomal RNA (253 nucleotides) under uncultured bacterium. RNAcentral's name for it is "partial 16S ribosomal RNA". It matches the Rfam family "Bacterial small subunit ribosomal RNA", at positions 524 to 776 of the family's 1533-position model. The record is from RNAcentral.